AUUGAACGCUGGCGGCAGGCCUAACACAUGCAAGUCGAGCGGAUGAAGGGAGCUUGCUCCUGGAUUCAGCGGCGGACGGGUGAGUAAUGCCUAGGAAUCUGCCUGGUAGUGGGGGAUAACGUCCGGAAACGGGCGCUAAUACCGCAUACGUCCUGAGGGAGAAAGUGGGGGAUCUUCGGACCUCACGCUAUCAGAUGAGCCUAGGUCGGAUUAGCUAGUUGGUGGGGUAAAGGCCUACCAAGGCGAAGAUCCGUAACUGGUCUGAGAGGAUGAUCAGUCAGACUGUAUGUGAGACUCAGACGAGACUCCGACAGGAGGCACCAUUGGGGAAUAUUGCAGGAUGUGUGAGAGGCGAAUCUUGCAAUAUGGGGGGUGUGAUGAUAGUCUUAUGACUCUUGAGUACUUUAAGUUUCGGGGUAGUACAGCUAGUUUAUACCGGACUGUAAUGACCUUACCAACAGAAUAAGCUCCGGCUAACUUCGUG
This 484-nucleotide ribosomal RNA is filed under the name uncultured bacterium. RNAcentral's name for it is "partial 16S ribosomal RNA". It matches the Rfam family "Bacterial small subunit ribosomal RNA", at positions 30 to 507 of the family's 1533-position model. The record is from RNAcentral.